Molecule: transfer RNA, 90 nt
Filed under: Brevundimonas sp.
Lineage: Bacteria; Pseudomonadati; Pseudomonadota; Alphaproteobacteria; Caulobacterales; Caulobacteraceae
Description: tRNA-Ser
Rfam family: tRNA
About the family: Transfer RNA (tRNA) molecules are approximately 80 nucleotides in length. Their secondary structure includes four short double-helical elements and three loops (D, anti-codon, and T loops).
Source: RNAcentral
GGAGACGUGGCCGAGUGGCUGAAGGCAACGGUUUGCUAAAUCGUCGCCCCUGUAAGGGUACCGAGGGUUCGAAUCCCUCCGUCUCCGCCA